This 253-nucleotide ribosomal RNA is filed under the name uncultured bacterium. Its description in RNAcentral is "partial 16S ribosomal RNA". It matches the Rfam family "Bacterial small subunit ribosomal RNA", at positions 524 to 776 of the family's 1533-position model. The record is from RNAcentral.
UACGGAGGGAGCUAGCGUUGUUCGGAAUUACUGGGCGUAAAGCGCACGUAGGCGGCGAUUCAAGUCAGAGGUGAAAGCCCGGGGCUCAACCCCGGAACUGCCUUUGAAACUAGAUUGCUAGAAUCCUGGAGAGGUUAGUGGAAUUCCGAGUGUAGAGGUGAAAUUCGUAGAUAUCGGGAGGAACACCAGUGGCGAAGGCGGCGACCUGGGCCAAUACUGACGCUGAGGUGCGAAAGCGUGGGGAGCAAACAGG